AUAAGAUCGACUAAAAUGAACACAGUAAUCAAAAAGGGAAAGAGGAAAUAUCUAUCUGGAAGAGUCGGCGUGGAUCACGACGCACCAGGGAAGAGGCUUCCACCUCAGCAAGUAGAGCCUUCUAGAAGCACCUCCCGGAGAAAAAGCAGUGUUUCCCUUGAGUCCCAACAUCUUAUGCUCCGCUUUUCUUCUCUUGCUGCCUCUGCUGCGGCUUUUGCUGUUGCUGGGGACAGCGCCAUUUUCAGGGGACCAGGGCUCCUUCACAGCGCCGGGCGUUUACCACCUGCACCUGUACUAAGCGGCGCCUGUGUUGAAUCGAAGUUCCUCCCUUGCACAACAAGUCGUUCAUGGAUCCGUAUCACAAACACAAUGGCGCUAGUCCGAGAAGCUGUGCUGAGCAAGGGGAUGCCGAGUGGCCUGACACGGCACAAUUCUCGAGUUUGCUCACAGGAGAGAUCAUCCUCUUCGACUUCAUUGUCGAAUGUAUUCAUUAGGACAGGUCCUGCGUCGACGAACGCAUCAACUCAUUACGGGGGUGGCUCUGCUGCCACUGUCAAGCUCUUCUCGAUGGCCAAUCAGAAAUGUAAGAGCGCCUCGCAGCAGACAAGAAAAUGCGGAAAGUUGGUUUGCAAUGCCAAAGCGAGUCCUAAUGGCAGCGAGGGGCCAAAGAUGGUUGUAGCUAUCACCGGUGCAACGGGAUUUGUUGGCUCUAGACUGGUGGAAAGACUCGUUAAAGAUGGACAUGAAGUUCGAAUUCUGACCCGUUCUGAAACCAGGGCCCGGGAAAUUUUUCCUGAAACAAGGUAUCCGGGUGUGAAGGUAGCAGAGGAAAGCAGGUGGGAUGAACUGAUUCAAGGUUCUACCGGCGUUGUCAACUUGGCUGGUUCCCCUAUUUCCACGAGAUGGACUCCCGAGGUGAAAGCAGAAAUCAAGGACUGCAGGGUUGCAGCUACUAGCAAGGUGGUGCAAGCGAUCAAUUCAGCACCGAAAGAGGCGCGACCUGCUGUUCUUGUUAGUUCGACCGCAGUUGGAUUCUACGGGACAAGCGAGACGUCUGCGUUUGAUGAGACAAGUCCUUCAGGGGAUGAUUAUCUUGCCGAGGUUUGUAAAGCAUGGGAAGCAAGUGCUCGCAAGGUGCGCCAAGGAACCAGACUCGUUCUCCUUCGCACUGGAGUCGUGCUGGAUGGACAGGAGGGUGGUAGUCUAGCCAAGAUGGUUCCUAUCUUCUCAAUUUUCGCGGGUGGACCACUAGGCUCUGGAAAGCAAUGGUUUUCAUGGGUGCAUCGCGACGAUCUAGUGUCUAUGAUCAUUGAAUCUCUCAGAAAUCCGGCGUAUGAAGGUGUAAUUAAUGGAACAGCACCAAAUCCAGUGCGAAUGGCGGAGAUGUGCGACCGACUAGGCGCCAUAUUGGGGCGCCCUUCUUGGCUUCCUGUUCCUGAGUUUGCCCUCAAGGCCAUUCUUGGUGAAGGAGCCACUCUUGUUUUGGAAGGACAAAGAGUGUUGCCAAAGAGAGCACAAGAACUCGGGUUUUCUUUCAAGUAUCGCUACAUUUCUGAUGCUUUGAAAGCCAUCUUGACCAGCUAGAACCCAUAUCUUGCAUAAGCCGAUGUGGGCUGUUACUUUCACAAAUCAUUGGUAAUUAACUAUACAAGAACUGCUGUUUUGAGAUCUGAAUGUAAGACAUAGUCAUUACGAGGGCGUCAGUGAUUCAUGGGCACAAGCUUGGAUACAAAUUCAAAGUUUCUUAUCUCUUUGCUAUUUAUUUCAUACCUAUAUUAGGAAGUGUUGAAUUACUUCUAUGUAUGUAUGUAUGUAUAUAUAUAUAUAUAUAUGCAUUUUGUUUUAGUGAGUAUGGUAUUGCCGAACACCCAGAAAAACACACAGGAUUUGGAGAGUAAAUAUGGUAGGGCGUGAAAAUAUUAAUAUGUACUUUUUUUGGAUUGUGACUGUCAUUGUGGACUGUAUUAAGGUCAUAAUGUCUAGAAAUACCUCGUUGGCUUGCUAUAAGAUUUUGACAAUCAUAGCCUUGUUUCAAGUCUUAAAGGUUUUGUGGUACAAUCUAAAAAGGUUUUUUGCAAUGCUA
Non-coding RNA from Physcomitrium patens, 2083 nucleotides. The record is from RefSeq and is a predicted model, not a curated record. Lineage: Eukaryota; Viridiplantae; Streptophyta; Bryopsida; Funariales; Funariaceae.